RNAcentral lists this ribosomal RNA (429 nucleotides) under Pseudomonadota bacterium. Its description in RNAcentral is "Proteobacteria bacterium partial 16S ribosomal RNA". It matches the Rfam family "Bacterial small subunit ribosomal RNA", at positions 355 to 776 of the family's 1533-position model. Lineage: Bacteria; Pseudomonadati; Pseudomonadota. The record is from RNAcentral.
UGGGGAAUAUUGGACAAUGGGCGAAAGCCUGAUCCAGCCAUGCCGCGUGUGUGAAGAAGGUCUUCGGAUUGUAAAGCACUUUAAGUUGGGAGGAAGGGCAGUAAGCGAAUACCUUGCUGUUUUGACGUUACCGACAGAAUAAGCACCGGCUAACUCUGUGCCAGCAGCCGCGGUAAUACAGAGGGUGCAAGCGUUAAUCGGAAUUACUGGGCGUAAAGCGCGCGUAGGUGGUUCGUUAAGUUGAAUGUGAAAGCCCCGGGCUCAACCUGGGAACUGCAUCCAAAACUGGCCAGCUAGAGUAGGGCAGAGGGUGGUGGAAUUUCCUGUGUAGCGGUGAAAUGCGUAGAUAUAGGAAGGAACACCAGUGGCGAAGGCGAGCACCUGGGCUCAUACUGACACUAAGGUGCGAAAGCGUGGGGAGCGAACAGG